RNAcentral lists this unclassified non-coding RNA (1906 nucleotides) under Hevea brasiliensis (rubber tree). Lineage: Eukaryota; Viridiplantae; Streptophyta; Magnoliopsida; Malpighiales; Euphorbiaceae. The record is from RNAcentral.
GAUUCUGAAGUUAGCAGUUGUAUAGCUGUUCCUGUACGGACAGGGCACCUUGCUGGUGGAAUUUUUCAUCAUAUUCUUCACAAGUUUUUGCCGUAUACCAAGAGUUCUAAGAAAGAGAGAAAAACUGAUGUGGACUGGAGGCAAAAACUUUCGAGCAGAGCUAGCCAGUUUCUCGUGGCAUCUUGUGUUCGCUCAACAGAGGCAAGGAAAAGAAUCUUUACCGAGAUUAACAGUGUGUUUAGUGAUUUUGUUGAGUUUGGAAGUGGUUUUAGGGCACCUGGAAUUGAAAUUCAAGCUUUUGUUGAUCUUCUCAGUGAUGUACUGACCGCUCGUGCACCUACAGGUUCUUCCAUCUCAGCAGAAGCUUCAGCUACUUUCAUAGAUGUUGGUCUUGUUCAAUCUCUGACCCGAGCUCUUAAUGUCUUGGACCUGGAUCAUACUGAUUCUUCCAAGGUUGUUACUGCUGUUGUGAAAGUUCUGGAGUUGGUAACAAAGGAGCAUGUUCAUGCAGCUGAGUCCAAUGCUGGGAGGGGAGAACAGUCGACAAAAACUCAGGAUGAUAAUCAAUCUGGAACUGCUAUUGAUGCCCUUGCAGUCCUGGCUAAUGAAACUUUAUCACAGCCUAAUGUGAAUUCAGUGCCAACAGAUCACAUAGAGCCCUUUGGCGCAACUCAAAACUUUGGUGGGUCUGAAGCUGUCACUGAUGAUAUGGAACAUGACCAGGAUAUUGAUGGAGGUUUUGGUCCAUCCAAUGAAGAUGAUUACAUGCAUGAAAGUAACGAGGACACUAGAAAUCUGGAAAAUGGCCUUGAGAUAAGAUUUGAAAUCCAGCCUGAUGUACAAGAGCAUCUUGAUGAAGAUGAUGAGGAGGACGAUGAUGAUGAUGAUGAGAUGUCAGGUGAUGAAGGAGAUGAGGUUGAUGAAGACGAGGAGGGGGAUGAAGAACAUAAUGACCUCGAGGAAGAUGAAGCUCAUCACUUACAACAUCCUGAUACUGAUCAAGAUGACCAAGAGAUUGAUGAAGAUGACUUUGAUGAGGAGGUAAUGGAUGAAGAGGAUGAAGAGGACGAGGAUGAGGAGGAUGGCGUAAUACUUCGUCUGGGUGAUGGUAUGAAUGGAAUAAAUGUAUUUGACCAUAUUGAAGUUUUUGGUCGAGAGCAUAGUCUCUCCAGUGAAACUUUACAUGUUAUGCCUGUUGAAGUUUUUGGCUCUAGGCGCCAGGGGCGCACGACAUCCAUCUACAAUCUUUUGGGAAGAGGUGGUGACAGCAUUGCUCCUUCACAACAUCCCCUUCUGGUCGAACCCUCUUCCUUGCUGCAAUUGGGUCAGCCACGUCAAUCAGAGAGUAUCCGUGAUGCUUAUUCCGAUAGGAGCUCAGAAGGAACCUCAUCGCGCUUGGAUUCCGUUUUCCGUUCUCUCCGGAGCAGUCGUCAUGGCCAACGGUUCAAUUUUUGGACCAAUGAUAACCAACAAAGCGGUGGAUCAGGUGCCUCUGCUCUUCCACAGGGUUUUGAGGAUUUGCUUGUUUCCCACUUGAGGCGGCCUAGCCCCGAGAAAUCAGCUGAUCAAGAUGCUAUAGAAGGGUCUCAGAAUAGAGGUGAGGCCACCCAGUUCGCUGGAUCAGGUGAAAUGGCAGCUGAAAGUGCUAUGGAGAACAAUAACAACAAUGAAGCCAGAGAUGCCUCUACCCCCUCAACAGUGUUGGAUGAAUCUGGUGGUGCUAAUGUGACACCUGUAGCAAAUGUGUCUUCUCAGGGAACAGAUGCACCAAGUAGCCAAUCUCAACCUGUCGAAAUGCAGUUUGAACAGAACGAUGUUGCCAUAAGGGAUGUUGAGGCAGUUAGCCAAGAAAGCAGUGGAAGUGGUGCAACUCUAGGUGAAAGUCUUCGAAGUCUUGAUGUUGAAA